RNAcentral lists this ribosomal RNA (1831 nucleotides) under Streptomyces albidoflavus. RNAcentral describes it as "partial 23S ribosomal RNA". It matches the Rfam family "Bacterial large subunit ribosomal RNA", at positions 1 to 1638 of the family's 2925-position model. Lineage: Bacteria; Bacillati; Actinomycetota; Actinomycetes; Kitasatosporales; Streptomycetaceae. The record is from RNAcentral.
ACAGUGGACGCGAGCAUCUGUGGCCAAGUUUUUAAGGGCGCACGGUGGAUGCCUUGGCACCAGGAACCGAUGAAGGACGUGGGAGGCCACGAUAGUCCCCGGGGAGUCGUCAACCAGGCUUUGAUCCGGGGGUUUCCGAAUGGGGAAACCCGGCAGUCGUCAUGGGCUGUCACCCGCUGCUGAACUCAUAGGCAGUGUGGAGGGAACGCGGGGAAGUGAAACAUCUCAGUACCCGCAGGAAGAGAAAACAACCGUGAUUCCGGGAGUAGUGGCGAGCGAAACUGGAUGAGGCCAAACCGUAUGUGUGUGAUACCCGGCAGGGGUUGCGCAUGCGGGGUUGUGGGAUCUCUCUUCCACGGUCUGCCGGCCGUGGGACGAGUCAGAAACCGUUGAUGUAGGCGAAGGACAUGCGAAAGGUCCGGCGUAGAGGGUAAGACCCCCGUAGUCGAAACGUCAGCGGCUCGUUUGAGAGACACCCAAGUAGCACGGGGCCCGAGAAAUCCCGUGUGAAUCUGGCGGGACCACCCGCUAAGCCUAAAUAUUCCCUGGUGACCGAUAGCGGAUAGUACCGUGAGGGAAUGGUGAAAAGUACCGCGGGAGCGGAGUGAAAUAGUACCUGAAACCGUGUGCCUACAAGCCGUGGGAGCGUCGCGCAUCGAGCUUGCUCGGUGCGUCGUGACUGCGUGCCUUUUGAAGAAUGAGCCUGCGAGUUAGCGGUGUGUAGCGAGGUUAACCCGUGUGGGGAAGCCGUAGCGAAAGCGAGUCCGAAGAGGGCGUUCGAGUUGCACGCUCUAGACCCGAAGCGGAGUGAUCUAGCCAUGGGCAGGUUGAAGCGGCUGUAAGAGGUCGUGGAGGACCGAACCCACCAGGGUUGAAAACCUGGGGGAUGACCUGUGGUUAGGGGUGAAAGGCCAAUCAAACUCCGUGAUAGCUGGUUCUCCCCGAAAUGCAUUUAGGUGCAGCGUCGUGUGUUUCUUGCCGGAGGUAGAGCACUGGAUAGGCGAUGGGCCCUACCGGGUUACUGACCUUAGCCAAACUCCGAAUGCCGGUAAGUGAGAGCGCGGCAGUGAGACUGUGGGGGAUAAGCUCCAUGGUCGAGAGGGAAACAGCCCAGAGCAUCGACUAAGGCCCCUAAGCGUACGCUAAGUGGGAAAGGAUGUGGAGUCGCAGAGACAACCAGGAGGUUGGCUUAGAAGCAGCCACCCUUGAAAGAGUGCGUAAUAGCUCACUGGUCUAGUGAUUCCGCGCCGACAAUGUAGCGGGGCUCAAGCGUACCGCCGAAGUCGUGUCAUUGCAGCAAUACUCCCAACGGAGGCUGUGAUGGGUAGGGGAGCGUCGUGUGCCGGGUGAAGCAGCCGUGGAAGCGAGUUGUGGACGGUUCACGAGUGAGAAUGCAGGCAUGAGUAGCGAUUCACACGUGAGAAACGUGUGCGCCGAUUGACUAAGGGUUCCUGGGUCAAGCUGAUCUGCCCAGGGUAAGUCGGGACCUAAGGCGAGGCCGACAGGCGUAGUCGAUGGAUAACCGGUUGAUAUUCCGGUACCCGCUGUGAAGCGUCAAACAUUGAAUCCAGUGAUGCUAAGCCCGUGAAGCCGUUCCGGACCCUUCGGGGAAUGGAAAGUGGUGGAGCCGGUGGCCCGAGCUGGUAGUAGGUGAGUGAUGGGGUGACGCAGGAAGGUAGUCCAUCCCGGGCGGUGGUUGUCCCGGGGUAAGGGUGUAGGCCGUGCGAUAGGUAAAUCCGUCGUACAUGUGGCUGAGACCUGAUGCCGAGCCGAUUGUGGUGAAGUGGAUGAUCCUAUGCUGUCGAGAAAAGCCUCUAGCGAGUUUCAUGGC